GCCUGGCUGGCUCAGUUGGUAGAGCAUGUGACUCUCAAUCUCAGGGGCGUGAGUUCAGGCCCCAUUUUGGGCA
Non-coding RNA from Neomonachus schauinslandi (Hawaiian monk seal), 73 nucleotides. Lineage: Eukaryota; Metazoa; Chordata; Mammalia; Carnivora; Phocidae. The record is from the annotation of a RefSeq genome assembly.